GACGAACGCUGGCGGCGUGCUUAACACAUGCAAGUCGAACGGGCCUGUCUUCUUUUUUGGGGGGUGGGUUGAGUGGCGAACGGGUGAGUAUCACGUGAGUAACCUGCCCUUCGGUCCUGGAUAACCGCUUGAAAGGGCGGCUAAUACGGGGUGGUCCGGUUGGUCCGCAUGGGCUGGUCGGGAUAGAUUCACUGUUUUUGGUGUUUCGGCGGGGGAUGGGCUCGCGGCCUAUCAGCUUGUUGGUGGGGUGAUGGCCUACCAAGGCGGUGACGGGUAGCCGGCCUGAGAGGGUGGGCGGCCACACUGGGACUGCGAUACGGCCCAGACUCCUGCGGGAGGCAGCAGUGGGGGGUAUUGCACAAUGGGCGGAAGCCUGAUGCAGCGACGUCGCGUGAGGGAUGGAGGCCUUCGGGUUGUGAACCUCUGUUUCCGGUGGUGAAGGCCCUGUCCGUGUGGUGGGGUUGACGGUAGCCGGGGAUGAAGCGCCGGCUAACUACGUG
RNAcentral lists this ribosomal RNA (500 nucleotides) under uncultured bacterium. RNAcentral's name for it is "partial 16S ribosomal RNA". It matches the Rfam family "Bacterial small subunit ribosomal RNA", at positions 28 to 507 of the family's 1533-position model. The record is from RNAcentral.